CGGACGAUUCAAAGCUUGCUUUUGCAUCGUUAGCGGCGGACGGGUGAGUACACGUGGGCAACCUGCCCUGUAGACGGGGAUAACACCGAGAAAUCGGUGCUAAUACCGGAUAACACGAAAGACCGCAUGGUCUUUCGUUGAAAGGCGGCGCAAGCUGUCGCUACAGGAUGGGCCCGCGGCGCAUUAGCUAGUUGGUGAGGUAACGGCUCACCAAGGCGACGAUGCGUAGCCGACCUGAGAGGGUGAUCGGCCACACUGGGACUGAGACACGGCCCAGACUCCUACGGGAGGCAGCAGUAGGGAAUCUUCCGCAAUGGACGAAAGUCUGACGGAGCAACGCCGCGUGAGCGAAGAAGGCCUUCGGGUCGUAAAGCUCUGUUGUUAGGGAAGAACAAGUACCGCAGUCACUGGCGGUACCUUGACGGUACCUAACGAGGAAGCCACGGCUAACUACGUGCCAGCAGCCGCGGUAAUACGUAGGUGGCAAGCGUUGUCCGGAAUUAUUGGGCGUAAAGCGCGCGCAGGCGGUUCCUUAAGUCUGAUGUGAAAGCCCACGGCUCAACCGUGGAGGGUCAUUGGAAACUGGGGGACUUGAGUGCAGAAGAGGAGAGCGGAAUUCCACGUGUAGCGGUGAAAUGCGUAGAGAUGUGGAGGAACACCAGUGGCGAAGGCGGCUCUCUGGUCUGUAACUGACGCUGAGGCGCGAAAGCGUGGGGAGCAACAGGAUAAAUACCCUG
RNAcentral lists this ribosomal RNA (737 nucleotides) under Anoxybacillus sp. D232a. RNAcentral describes it as "bacterial SSU rRNA". It matches the Rfam family "Bacterial small subunit ribosomal RNA", at positions 63 to 789 of the family's 1533-position model. The record is from RNAcentral. Lineage: Bacteria; Bacillati; Bacillota; Bacilli; Caryophanales; Anoxybacillaceae.